CUUCUAGGCUACGAGAACCACCUGUGGGGGGCGAUAUGUUUCUUGCAUCAUUUAAUCUAAGCAUAUGCAGAGGUAGUGAUGUGUGAUCUUGGACUAAGUUCAGAACUGAAGUUUGCAUGUAAUUCUACACUAAUAAAAGUUGCAGGGUGGUAAAAACUCCAAGAGGGAGCAAGGUGAAACAUUAACUCGC
Long non-coding RNA from Papaver somniferum (opium poppy), 190 nucleotides. RefSeq lists it as uncharacterized. Lineage: Eukaryota; Viridiplantae; Streptophyta; Magnoliopsida; Ranunculales; Papaveraceae. The record is from RefSeq and is a predicted model, not a curated record. The transcript is spliced from 3 exons.